Non-coding RNA from Dipodomys ordii (Ord's kangaroo rat), 65 nucleotides. The record is from Rfam. NCBI's taxonomy places the organism in Eukaryota, Metazoa, Chordata, Mammalia, Rodentia, Heteromyidae.
GGUGGCUCAGUGGUAGAGCGCUUGCCUCACAUGCCUGAGGCCCUGGGUUCAAUUCCUCAGCACCA